GAUGAACGCUGGCGGCGUGCUUAACACAUGCAAGUCGAACGGAAAGGCCCAAGCUUGCUUGGGUACUCGAGUGGCGAACGGGUGAGUAACACGUGGGUGAUCUGCCCUGCACUUCGGGAUAAGCCUGGGAAACUGGGUCUAAUACUGGAUAGGACCACUUCUUGGAUGUUGUGGUGGAAAGUUUUUUCGGUGUGGGAUGAGCUCGCGGCCUAUCAGCUUGUUGGUGGGGUAAUGGCCUACCAAGGCGUCGACGGGUAGCCGGCCUGAGAGGGUGUACGGCCACAUUGGGACUGAGAUACGGCCCAGACUCCUACGGGAGGCAGCGGUGGGGAAUAUUGCACAAUGGGCGCAAGCCUGAUGCAGCGACGCCGCGUGGGGGAUGACGGCCUUCGGGUUGUAAACUCCUUUCGCUAGGGACGAAGCGUUUUGUGACGGUACCUGGAGAAGAAGCACCGGCUAACUACGUG
Molecule: ribosomal RNA, 467 nt
Filed under: uncultured bacterium
Lineage: Bacteria
Description: partial 16S ribosomal RNA
Rfam family: Bacterial small subunit ribosomal RNA
Source: RNAcentral